GCAAUGGUGGUUCAGUGGUGGAAUUCUCACUUUCUAUGUGGGAGACCUGGGUUCUAUUCCUGCCCAAUGUA
This 71-nucleotide transfer RNA is filed under the name Loxodonta africana (African savanna elephant). It matches the Rfam family "tRNA". From Rfam's summary of the family: Transfer RNA (tRNA) molecules are approximately 80 nucleotides in length. Their secondary structure includes four short double-helical elements and three loops (D, anti-codon, and T loops). The record is from Rfam by way of RNAcentral. Lineage: Eukaryota; Metazoa; Chordata; Mammalia; Proboscidea; Elephantidae.